This 492-nucleotide ribosomal RNA is filed under the name uncultured bacterium. RNAcentral's name for it is "partial 16S ribosomal RNA". It matches the Rfam family "Bacterial small subunit ribosomal RNA", at positions 29 to 507 of the family's 1533-position model. The record is from RNAcentral.
AGUGAACGCUGGCGGUAGGCCUAACACAUGCAAGUCGAACGGCAGCACAGUAAGAGCUUGCUCUUACGGGUGGCGAGUGGCGGAUGGGUGAGGAAUACAUCGGAAUCUACUUUUUCGUGGGGGAUAACGUAGGGAAACUUACGCUAAUACCGCAUACGACCUACGGGUGAAAGCAGGGGAUCUUCGGACCUUGCGCGAUUGAAUGAGCCGAUGUCGGGUUAGCUAGUUGGCGGGGUAAAGGCCCACCAUGGCGACGAUCCGUAGCUGGUCUGAGAGGAUGACCAGCCACACUGGAACUGAGGCACGAACUAGACUCCUACGGGAGGCAGCAGUCGGGAAUAUUGGACAAUGGGCGCAAGCCUGAUCCAGCCAUACCGCGUGGGUGAAGAGGGCCUUCGGGUUGUAAAGCCCUUCUGUUGGGAAAGAAAAGCAGCAGGUUAAUACCCCGCUGUUCUGACGGUACCCAAAGAAUAAGCACCGGCUAACUUCGUG